GACGAACGCUGGCGGCGUGCUUAACACAUGCAAGUCGAAUGGAAAGGCCCUGCAUUUGUGGGGUGCUCGAGUGGCGAACGGGUGAGUAACACGUGAGUAACCUGCCCUUGACUUUGGGAUAAUUUCAGGAAACUGGGGUUAAUACCGGCUAGGAGCUCCUGCUGCAUGGUGGGGGUUGGAAAGUUUCGGCGGUUGGGGAUGGACUCGCGGCUUAUCAGCUUGUUGGUGUGGUAGUGGCUUACCAAGGCUUUGACGGAUAGCCGGCCUGAGAGGGUGAACGGCCACAAUGGGACUGAGAUACGGCCCAGACGCCUACGGGAGACAGCAGGGGGGAGUAUGGCACAAUGGGCGGGAGCCUGAGGCAGCGACGCCGCGGGCGGGAUGACGGCCUUCGGGUUGUAAACCGCGUUCGCCUGUGACGAAGCGUGAUUGACGGUAAUAGGUAAAGAAGCACCGGCUAACUACGUG
Molecule: ribosomal RNA, 468 nt
Filed under: uncultured bacterium
Lineage: Bacteria
Description: partial 16S ribosomal RNA
Rfam family: Bacterial small subunit ribosomal RNA
Source: RNAcentral